Molecule: ribosomal RNA, 497 nt
Filed under: uncultured bacterium
Lineage: Bacteria
Description: partial 16S ribosomal RNA
Rfam family: Bacterial small subunit ribosomal RNA
Source: RNAcentral
GACGAACGCUGGCGGCGUGCCUAAUACAUGCGAGUUGAGCGCUGAAGGUUGGUACUUGUACCGACUGGAUGAGCAGCGAACGGGUGAGUAACGCGUGGGGAAUCUGCCUUUGAGCGGGGGACAACAUUUGGAAACGAAUGCUAAUACCGCAUAAAAACUUUAAACACAAGUUUUAAGUUUGAAAGAUGCAAUUGCAUCACUCAAAGAUGAUCCCGCGUUGUAUUAGCUAGUUGGUGAGGUAAAGACUCACCAAGGCGAUGAUACAUAGCCGACCUGAGAGGGUGAUCGGCCACAUUGGGACUGAGACACGGCCCAAACUCCUACGGGAGGCAGCAGUAGGGAAUCUUCGGCAAUGGACGAAAGUCUGACCGAGCAACGCCGCGUGAGUGAAGAAGGUUUUCGGAUCGUAAAACUCUGUUGGUAGAGAAGAACGUUGGUGAGAGUGGAAAGCUCAUCAAGUGACGGUAACUACCCAGAAAGGGACGGCUAACUACGUG